Non-coding RNA from Pantherophis guttatus, 3526 nucleotides. Lineage: Eukaryota; Metazoa; Chordata; Lepidosauria; Squamata; Colubridae. The record is from RefSeq and is a predicted model, not a curated record.
AAGACCAUAUUGCAUGAAUAAAUGGGAUGACACUUCACGUCUGCCUACUAUUUGGAAACCUGCUCUCAUAGAUAGACGAAUCUUAACACCAAAUAUAAAACAUAGACCAAACAUUAAUCAAAAAACAAAUCCCAACCAAAUCAUAUUCAAACCAGCCACAAAGAUGAAGCCCUGCCACCUAGUGGAGAAAAACCGACCAUACACCCGAAGCCAAGCCAAUAAACACAUACUGGGACUCCCAACCAAUCAGAAUGAAAAGGUGGAGCCAUCCCAGAAUACCAGCACCAGAUUUGAAAUAGCAACGGCAGUUACUGCAAAAGACUGCUGACAUAAGCCUGAUGAUGGCAGAUGGGAUUCUGUCGAAACGUCGCUUCUACCCUUUUAGGGAUAUAUCCACAAUUACACGGGAAGAAACCCGAAAUAUUAAAUAUACACACAUAUAUGAAUCCAUCAACCCCAACAUCACCGUCAUUGAUGAAUGAAGAAGGAUGUCAAAUGUUCUACCUUGUACGACAAUGUGAUGGUUGAUGGAUUCCAGGGACGGGACAGAAAUCCAUGGGUGGCCGCAGUCAGUGGACAUCCUGGAGGCUGCAAAAAGACAAACACCGGCCAUGGGUGAACUGCCAACCAUCGCAUUGUUGACCAGGGCUGAAGGUCUGACAUCGUCUUUCAUCAAUGAUGGUGAUGUGGGAACACAGAGGCCAAACAAUACGUAGACCCCAAAGAUGACCAAAGUCAUUUUCCAUCCCAAAAUCAAACCCCCAAACAAGGAAAAAAAAAUACCCAAGACAAGAAAUCAAGUCUUGCUCACCUACAGAACGGAUUUACUCUCAGGGAAACUGACAGAUCAGGACAUUUUCAUGGACUUGAGUUACAGCUGAAUUUUUACAUGGCCGCAUUAUUCUAGGUUUUUAUUGUUGUUUUUCCUCUUAAAAGAUCUCAAAUAGAUUUUCAGUUGAAUUGAAUAGCUUAGAUGUUAUAUUAAUAGUGGAAAAAAUUCUGAAGUUAUUUAUCUUGGUCUGAUUUUUUAUUUUUAUUUUUUGCAUCUAUUCUUCUUUCUCCAUCCCUUUUCUCUUUCAGAAAUGGACCCUAAUGAACUGCUGCGGCCAUCCACUGGCAGAUCCCAGAACGUCCUUGGAGACCCUUGGAAAGUGACCUUGUUUGUCUUCUAUGUAUUCGUUGGCCUCUGCAUUUUUUUCCCACCAGUGCAGAUAAGUUGCUCCUGAUCAGGGGACUGGCAUCACCACAACCUGGGGAGCCCUAAGGCACUGAAAGGCUCCCAAAAUGUUGGUGGAACUAACAGAAGGAUAGAAUCCCUCAGGGCUGGAAGGGACCUUGGAGGUCUUCCAAUCCAACCCCCUGCCUAGCUGGGGCUGCCUGAGACCUCUCAGGAUCUCUCUUUUAGCGUGUAACCCUCCAUACUGAAAGGUCCACAGUUGCUGGAGGAGACACCCCUGGCAUCUCCCCAUAGCUGGAUCAAAGAUUAUGACAUCACAGCACAUGUCAUAAAAUCUUGACUGGGCUGUCCUGGGUCAUUUAACAGGGCUAUCAUAACAGCCAUGGCAGGCAAUUUCCUGCAAGGAAUGAAAUGGAAGGUAAAGCGUAAAAAUAGAGGUAGGAGACAAUUAAAAAUAAGAGACUUAUUAUCUACUUAACUUUAGCAGCAAGUGUGAAGAGUUUAGAUGGCAGAAAUAUCAGCUGGCACCAAAUAUUUGAGACUAAAGAACCCAGAUAAAGCUAUUGCUGUAAAAAUGAAAGUAUGUGGAAUAAAAAGAGGGAAUUUGGGGGUGGGUAGGUGGGUUUAAAAGUGCCUGUUUCCAAACUUUUCUUGAAAAGCUCCAGUAAUGGAGCCCCCAUUAAGAAUAAGUACUAGUCAAGCUAUAUUUUAUUCUUUUUUUCUUCUUCAAUCCCCAGAAAAAGGUGUCUGCAAGUGUCACCAGAGCAACCAAGCAAAAAUGUUGAGGCUGCCAUCAUCACCAUGGAACCCUACAUACCCAAAUCCAUCAACCCCAACAUCACCAUCAUUGAUGAGAGAAGAAGGAUGUUGGACGUUUUACCUUGCACAACAAUGUGAGGUUGAUAAGUGUUUGAAUUAAUUUGGGUGUCAGUUUUUUCCCAUUGUGAUGAUAUUAUUGUUAUUUAAUUCUUAGAUGGAUUCCAUUCAAGAGGCAGGAAAACCCAGGUGACUGCUGUCAGUGGACACCUUGGAGGCUGGAAGAAGAUGAAUAGCUGACAUGGGUGAAAGCUGAAAACAACUGGAGCCCCAUUUGGACCCAUCGGCAUUGACAACCCCACCAUCGGUCAAUUGCCAAAGGCAGCUUUCCUUUCGAACAGCUGACAUCCAGUCUGAACAUCUGGCUGACUGUGUGAAGAACCACAAUCCCCCCGUGAACCUUGACGUGGUUAUAGGCUUGUGUGCUCUGAGGAAGAUGAGGGCUACACCUGAGGUUCAAGCAUACUGGACAGGACUCAUGAGAGGAAUUGGAUAACAUACAUUACAGAAACCCAGGUUGGCUCUCUAGUUGCCCAGGUCAGAAAGGACCAUGCUAAGGGUUCAAAUUCCUGGACAUCUGGUGGAAAAUGACCUGCAGGACUCAGGACUGCUGGCUGAGCUGGAAGGAAAGUGUUUUUCCGACUCUCCCCAAGAUGGCAGCUAGACUCAGCAGGGGUUUUAUUCCCUGCUCCUGGUUUCCUCACCAGAACUGGUUCUUUUCUUUUCUUUUUCCUUUUUAUGUACUUUUUAAUGUAGUUUUAUUUAGCUUUGGGGGCUUGUUUGUAAUUUUUUUUCAUUUUUUUGGAGGUUUUGAAAAUAAAAUAAAAUAAAAAAUUGAUUUUAAAAAAAAGAAAUGAUAUGAGAAAAAGUACAAAUGAAAUCUUAAUGAAAGAUUCACAUUGUAGCUACCAUCCAUUUGUUCUUAUAUCAGAUAGAAUAGCUUGUUAAGUCCUAUUGAAAAAUUAUAUAUUUUUCUACUGGAUUUUACUUAUGCACUCUAUUGGGAAAUCAUAGAUAUUGUUCUAAAAACUGGGUGGUAUUUCUAAAACAACAUCAAAGUACCUUUGUCUAAGAGUUGAUAUAAUGUUGCAUCACAAAAUCCUAUUUCAAAGGUGUUAGUCAUCACCUUUAAAGCGCUCCAUGGCUUAGGACCUGGGUACCUACGAGACCAUCUUUUGCCACCAAUAGCCUCCCACCGACCAGUUCGUUCUCACAGGGAGGGACUACUCAGGGUACCAUCAGUCAAAUUAUGCCGACUGGCGACUCCCAGGGGGAGGGCCUUCUCUGUGAGGGCUCCAACCCUUUGGAAUGAACUGCCCCCUGAGAUACGAAAUAUCCCUGAUCUCCGUGCUUUCCGCCGUGCCCUCAAGACCCUGAUGUUCCAACAGACGGGGCUAAACAUAUGAACAUGUGAAUGAUUUUAAAAUGUUAUCUAAUUUUGGGUUCUAUUUAAUUGGGCCAAACUAUGUUAUAAUAAUAAUUCUAAUUAGCAAUUUUAUGAUGUUUGUGUAUCUAUAUUUUUUCUUGACUGUA